UCAGAGGGCGCGGCGCCCAAGAGGGCCUCGAUGAUGGGCGACUCGAUGGCGCUCAUGAGUACAAUGUCACCCAGCACGGGCACCAUAUACAGGCGCAUGGCAAAGAGGUCGGUGAAAUGAGGCAGGGGACCGAUUGCACAGAAACCUCGCGCCUGGCGGCGCACCUGGCGGUUGACAAAGCCGAGCACGGCCUCGUGCGCCUGGCGUGAGGCCAAAAUCGUCGCGGUCGUUGCAUCGCCGCCGUGGACCCACGCCGCCAGUUGGUCUGCAUCGACAAGGCCUCUGAGAGCGUCGUCUGCGAGACGCCGUCGGUCCUCGGCGCCCUUGAUGUAAAAGAGCGGUUGGACACUGGGCGGGAUGGGCAAAGCAAGGCCCUGUGCGCCCGUCUCGACGCCGCGGCGCGCCAGGCGGCCCGUGAGCAUGGCAACGUCGUCGGCCGAUGCGUGUCCGUCGCCGUGAAAUCCGGGCGACUCGGCAAACAGACGGCCGAUCAGACCCGGUCGGCCUUGGCGAGAGGGCGUCGUGAUCCACCGGUACCAGGCGGCGGCGCGAUUCUGCAGAGGUCCGAGGCGCGGCGAGGUGGCGACGCGACCAACCAAGUCCACUCCCGGAUGGACCGUGUUGAGGGCGCGCGAGACGACGGCCGGCUCUAGGCCGCGGCUUUCGGCCGACGACGCAUGCGCAAACAGGAACCGCACAUAGGCCUCCAUGAGGCACGCGGCCACGGCCAGGGCGUGGCACACGCCGUCGGGCUGUGACACCGGGGCGGCACUGAUCACACCCUCAUAGGCAUCUAGGGCAGGGAGACAGUGGCGCCGACGCAAGUCACGCUCUCUGGAAAAGAGGCCGUUGUACAAAAGGGCACCUGACGACGGUGGCGGCAGCGCAGAACUGCGCCAUUGACCUCGGCCGGCGGCGGCAUAUCUGGCGAUCCAGUCCAGAGGGCCGGGUCCAUGCCCGCGCGCUCCCCAUUCGACGCAUUCUUCGAUUAGCGCCAUCUGGGUCUCGCCCUUUUUUGCGUUGCGGCCGACGGCUUCUGUGGUCGUCGACGAGGCGCAAGGCGAAUGCGACACGAUCCACGGACGGGGCCGUGCGAGGGCGAUGGCAUGCGCAGGAUACGGGUGCGAGGGAUCAGCCUCUGCCAUGGGCGGCCAAAGGGUUCGGGAAAGAAAGGACGACAUUGUUGAUUCUAGGUGCGCUCGAAACUGACGCCGCCGUGGCGGUGCACCGACAGGCUGCACCUUUUUUUUUUCUUCCCUCUCCUUCCUCCCUCUCUCGGUCACCUUUUUCUCCUAAAGCAACCGCGACCACGCGCGCUCGGCCCGCAUUACUAAAUC
RNAcentral lists this long non-coding RNA (1337 nucleotides) under Pandoravirus dulcis. Its description in RNAcentral is "putative ncRNA". The record is from RNAcentral.